CACAUCAGUUUUUAAGGUUAUAAAAUUAGGACCUUAAGGCAUGUUUACUUUACAGAUAAAAAAAAAAGACAGAGAAAUUCAAAAGCAAUAGCUGACAGCUCACUACAGCAUAUAUCAGAUGCUACUGUACAUGCAGGGGGAGAAUGGCUUUAACGAGCCCUGUCACUUUGCUCUCUUUUAAUUAAAUGAUGGGCUGUAUAUAGAACAGGAGUCUGUGCUUGUUGGGAAUAAAAAGAUUAAUGAUCUGGCUGGAGCACUAAGCUAAAUUGCACUGCAGUGCUGGAAACCUGCUUGGUAAGGGGACUGCCUUUUCUGCUCAACCACAGCAACAAAUGUUUUAGGAGGUUACUCAUCUUCUACAUCAUGAAAGAUUGUGUCCCUACAUCCAAUUCAGAGACAAACCUAUCUGACAGGGAAGCCUGAUGCUGGAUGCUGAUAGAGAGGCAGUAUGCUUCCUUUCUGUGCAAGAGGAGGCUAACAGCAUGGUUGUACCUGCACACAAUUUCUUGAUGGACACACCCUGGUGCUGGCAGUGCUCUGACUUACAGCCAGCAAGGAGGUCUUCCAAUUUCUCCCUGGCAACCGGGUGUGGAGGAGGGGACAAGGACAGCAGUCACUUACUGCACUUCCCGAAAGCAUUUAUCAGUCAUGUGCAACAGGUCAAUUAUACCUGAAUUUAUAAAAAUAAUGAGCAAGUUAUAAAAUCAAAUGCAGAUACAGUAAACACACUUCUUACCUUUUCUCCUUUAGGCCCUCUUAUUCCAGGUAAUCCGGGUGGGCCCUUAUAAUAAAACAAUAUUUGUUUAUAAAUCAUUCAGAUAGCCAUCUAAAUUAGUUUUAUUGUCCACAACAUCCCACUACAAAGAUAUGUCUGCUUCUGGAAGAGCGCAGCUGCAGUUUCAAUUAACUUAAGGCUGACUGGUCUCUAUUGAUUUUAAAAGUGCCUUGUGGGUCUCUUUGUGAUAUACUGAAAUGCUGCUGUAGUCCAGUUGGUGCUGUAACAGCCUGAAAUGAGCAGCUU
Melanotaenia boesemani (Boeseman's rainbowfish) is the source of this 1021-nucleotide long non-coding RNA. RefSeq lists it as uncharacterized. Lineage: Eukaryota; Metazoa; Chordata; Actinopteri; Atheriniformes; Melanotaeniidae. The transcript has 3 exons. The record is from RefSeq and is a predicted model, not a curated record.